This 253-nucleotide ribosomal RNA is filed under the name uncultured bacterium. RNAcentral describes it as "partial 16S ribosomal RNA". It matches the Rfam family "Bacterial small subunit ribosomal RNA", at positions 524 to 776 of the family's 1533-position model. The record is from RNAcentral.
UACGAAGGGUGCAAGCGUUAAUCGGAAUUACUGGGCGUAAAGCGCGCGUAGGUGGUUCAGUAAGUUGGAAGUGAAAUCCCCGGGCUCAACCUGGGAACUGCUUUCAAAACUGCUGAGCUAGAGUACGGUAGAGGGUGGUGGAAUUUCCUGUGUAGCGGUGAAAUGCGUAGAGAUUUGGAGGAAUACCAGUGGCGAAGGCGACCACCUGGACUGAUACUGACACUGAGGUGCGAAAGCGUGGGGAGCAAACAGG